RNAcentral lists this ribosomal RNA (235 nucleotides) under uncultured bacterium. RNAcentral describes it as "partial 16S ribosomal RNA". It matches the Rfam family "Bacterial small subunit ribosomal RNA", at positions 15 to 240 of the family's 1533-position model. The record is from RNAcentral.
GAUCCUGGCUCAGGAUGAACGCUAGCGACAGGCUUAACACAUGCAAGUCGAGGGGCAGCAUAAUUUGUAGCAAUACAGAUUGAUGGCGACCGGCGCACGGGUGAGUAACGCGUAUGCAACUUACCUAUCAGAGGGGGAUAGCCCGGCGGAAGUCGGAUUAGUACCCCAUAAAACAGGGGUCCCGCAUGGGAAUAUUUGUUAAAGAUUCAUCGCUGAUAGAUAGGCAUGCGUUCCA